GCACUGCUGAGGAGUCCCACAACAGGAUAAAACGGCCUUCCAGUGC
Molecule: non-coding RNA, 46 nt
Filed under: Schistosoma margrebowiei
Lineage: Eukaryota; Metazoa; Platyhelminthes; Trematoda; Strigeidida; Schistosomatidae
Source: RNAcentral